AAAAAUUAAUUAACCAUUAAAUUUAGUUCCCCUCGCUAUCCUUUUUUUUUUUUUUGUAAAACUCCCCUCGCUAUCCUGUUCUUCAAUUACAAUGAUGUUUCUUAGGACGUCGGGGAACAAUAUUC
Molecule: small nucleolar RNA, 125 nt
Organism: Brassica rapa (field mustard)
Lineage: Eukaryota; Viridiplantae; Streptophyta; Magnoliopsida; Brassicales; Brassicaceae
Product: small nucleolar RNA snoR136
Source: RefSeq, a predicted model, not a curated record